RNAcentral lists this ribosomal RNA (572 nucleotides) under uncultured bacterium. Its description in RNAcentral is "bacterial SSU rRNA". It matches the Rfam family "Bacterial small subunit ribosomal RNA", at positions 8 to 587 of the family's 1533-position model. The record is from RNAcentral.
AGAGUUUGAUCCUGGCUCAGAGCGAACGCUGGCGGCACGCCUAACACAUGCAAGUCGAGCGAGAAAGUGACUUCGGUCGCGAGUAAAGCGGCGAACGGGUGAGUAUAACGUGGAUAAUCUACCCUAAGGUCUGGGACAACCCCGAGAAAUCGGGGCUAAUACCGGAUAAGACCACAGUAUCCAAGGAUACAGCGGUAAAAGAUUUAUCGCCUUUGGAUGAGUCCACGCCCCAUCAGGUAGUUGGUAAGGUAAAGGCUUACCAAGCCUAAGACGGGUAGCCGGCCUUAGCGGGUGAACGGCCACAUGGGGACUGAGACACGGCCCUGACUCCUACGGGAGGCAGCAGUGGGGAAUAUUGGGCAAUGGGCGAAAGCCUGACCCAGCGAUGCCGCGUGAGGGAUGAAGGCCUUCGGGUUGUAAACCUCUGUCAGGAGGGACGAUGGGACUUUGUCUUGACGGUACCUCCAGAGGAAGCCCCGGCUAACUCCGUGCCAGCAGCCGCGGUAAUACGGAGGGGGCAAGCGUUGCUCGGAAUUACUGGGGCGUAAAGGGUCCGCAGGCUGUCAGGCAAG